AAGGAUCAUUAUCGUACAAA
Molecule: ribosomal RNA, 20 nt
Filed under: Lactarius deliciosus
Lineage: Eukaryota; Fungi; Basidiomycota; Agaricomycetes; Russulales; Russulaceae
Description: partial 18S ribosomal RNA
Source: RNAcentral